GCCUCCGUGGCGAAAUGGUAGACGCGGCAGACUCAAAAUCUGUUGCCCGAAAGGGCGUGUUGGUUCGAGUCCGACCGGGGGCACCA
Molecule: transfer RNA, 86 nt
Filed under: Niveispirillum sp.
Lineage: Bacteria; Pseudomonadati; Pseudomonadota; Alphaproteobacteria; Rhodospirillales; Azospirillaceae
Description: tRNA-Leu
Rfam family: tRNA
About the family: Transfer RNA (tRNA) molecules are approximately 80 nucleotides in length. Their secondary structure includes four short double-helical elements and three loops (D, anti-codon, and T loops). Further hydrogen bonds mediate the characteristic L-shaped molecular structure. tRNAs have two regions of fundamental functional importance: the anti-codon, which is responsible for specific mRNA codon recognition, and the 3' end, to which the tRNAs corresponding amino acid is attached (by aminoacyl-tRNA synthetases). tRNAs cope with the degeneracy of the genetic code in two manners: having more than one tRNA (with a specific anti-codon) for a particular amino acid; and 'wobble' base-pairing, i.e. permitting non-standard base-pairing at the 3rd anti-codon position.
Source: RNAcentral